Molecule: long non-coding RNA, 681 nt
Organism: Anguilla rostrata (American eel)
Lineage: Eukaryota; Metazoa; Chordata; Actinopteri; Anguilliformes; Anguillidae
Exons: 2
Source: RefSeq, a predicted model, not a curated record
GGUGCUGGAGAAAAGGUCCGCAAGUCGCAAAUCUUGAAAUCGCGCUAGGAGGCAAAAAAGGUUUUUUAAAUUUUUUUUUACUGUUUUCCUUUUUUUCAUAUUACGAAAGUUAAAGUGUUGAAGAAGUCACUCAAUAGAAUAAACAACAUUUUUAGGGUCACUAAAUACUUAUAAUUUGUCAGCAAAUUCGGCUUGUUUUAGUGAUUCUUACAGCCGGGUUUUGGAGGCGUGAUGGGGGUGCAGUUUAAUUAGCAUGUUUGAUUUCGUUGGCUAUUGUCACUUUGUUUCGGUCAAGCCACCGCCCAUAAAUAAAGCCGUGUGGUAGUAGCCUAUGUUUGUUUACUGUGUGAGGUUGCUAAAAUGGCGGACGGUCAAUCAGUAGAGGUGCGACCCAGGUGCUGUAUGUGGACCGCUGCUUGGAAGCAGCAGGUUGUGCUUGGCCUCAAGUCUGCAAUCAAGAGCUCAUUCGUGCAGCCAUUCACGCUGUGUUCUUCCUGCCCAGCCGGGAGCAAGAAAGACUGUUAAGGCUCAGAUGUGGAUGUCCUAAUGUGUCAGGGACAUGAACUAAAAUAAACAUUUGGUUCUCAUUUGGAGGAGAUCUGUACAGUAUGUGAGCAUGUGAGUUUGACUUUAAUGAGUCUUGUGGUUCUCAAAGAUCAAAAUAAAAAAUUUGAAUGUGAA